This is a long non-coding RNA of Cydia strobilella, 296 nucleotides long. RefSeq lists it as uncharacterized. The record is from RefSeq and is a predicted model, not a curated record. NCBI's taxonomy places the organism in Eukaryota, Metazoa, Arthropoda, Insecta, Lepidoptera, Tortricidae. The transcript has 2 exons.
CUUGAAAAUAUUUAUUGCGUUUGGUAGUUCUAAAAAUAUAAGGUUUAAUUGACAAUUCGAUAUAAUGCUCGACACAUUUAUUUCGCUACCUACCAUAGAGAAAUAUAAUAGUGAUAAAUGUAACAAUAGUAAAAUAUAUUUUGUCACUUGGCUGCUAUUCAAAAUAUUAUGUACUUGUCUGAUUUACUCUGCAUACCUAAAAUAUAAACAUUGUAUUCUCUUAGUAGUUGGCCUAUUUCCUAUUUCAUUAUUUCAUAAAAUAAUAUGUAUACAAAAUAUCCGUAAAACCCAAUGUU